UGGGGAAUAUUGCACAAUGGGCGCAAGCCUGAUGCAGCCAUGCCGCGUGUGUGAAGAAGGCCUUCGGGUUGUAAAGCACUUUCAGCGGGGAGGAAGGCGGUGAGGUUAAUAACCUCAUCGAUUGACGUUACCCGCAGAGGAAGCACCGGCUAACUCCGUGCCAGCAGCCGCGGUAAUACGGAGGGUGCAAGCGUUAAUCGGAAUUACUGGGCGUAAAGCGCACGCAGGCGGUCUGUCAAGUCGGAUGUGAAAUCCCCGGGCUCAACCUGGGAACUGCAUUCGAAACUGGCAGGCUAGAGUCUUGUAGAGGGGGGUAGAAUUCCAGGUGUAGCGGUGAAAUGCGUAGAGAUCUGGAGGAAUACCGGUGGCGAAGGCGGCCCCCUGGACAAAGACUGACGCUCAGGUGCGAAAGCGUGGGGAGCAAACAGG
Molecule: ribosomal RNA, 429 nt
Filed under: Chloroflexota bacterium
Lineage: Bacteria; Bacillati; Chloroflexota
Description: Chloroflexi bacterium partial 16S ribosomal RNA
Rfam family: Bacterial small subunit ribosomal RNA
Source: RNAcentral